CGCGUAGGCGGCGCGGUAAGUCACUUGUGAAAUCUCUGAGCUUAACUCAGAACGGCCAAGUGAUACUGCAGUGCUAGAGUGCAGAAGGGGCAAUCGGAAUUCUUGGUGUAGCGGUGAAAUGCGUAGAUAUCAAGAGGAACACCUGAGGUGAAGACGGGUUGCUGGGCUGACACUGACGCUGAGGCGCGAAAGCCAGGGGAGCAAACGGGAUUAGAUACCCCGGUAGUCCUGGCCCUAAACGAUGAAUACUUGGUGUCUGGAGUUUCAAUACUCCGGGUGCCGUCGCUAACGUUUUAAGUAUUCCGCCUGGGGAGUACGCUCGCAAGAGUGAA
Molecule: ribosomal RNA, 332 nt
Filed under: uncultured Acidobacteriota bacterium
Lineage: Bacteria; Pseudomonadati; Acidobacteriota
Description: bacterial SSU rRNA
Rfam family: Bacterial small subunit ribosomal RNA
Source: RNAcentral